GAUGAAGAACGUAGCGAAAUGCGAUAAGUAAUGCGAAUUGCAGAAUUUCCGUGAGUCAUCGAAUCUUUGAACGCACAUUGCGCCCACCGGUAUUCCGGUGGGCAUGCCUGUUCGAGCGUCAUUAUCCUCCCUCAAACCCCGGGUUUGGUGUUGGACCCAAGUUGUGUGAACAACUGGUCUUAAAGACAAUGACGGCGUCCGUGGGACCCUCGGUGCAACGAGCUUUUAGGAGCACGCAUCGAGUUGCAAGGACCUUCCGGGCCGGUCUCCUUUACUAUUUUACAAGGUUGAUCUCGGAUCAGGUAGGAAUACCCGCUGAACUUAAGCAUAUCAAUAAGCGGAGGA
This 345-nucleotide unclassified non-coding RNA is filed under the name soil metagenome. RNAcentral's name for it is "partial contains 5.8S ribosomal RNA, internal transcribed spacer 2, and large subunit ribosomal RNA". The stretch from base 1 to 121 matches the Rfam family "5.8S ribosomal RNA", at positions 35 to 154 of the family's 154-position model. The record is from RNAcentral.